RNAcentral lists this transfer RNA (93 nucleotides) under Chloroflexota bacterium. RNAcentral describes it as "Chloroflexi bacterium tRNA-Ser". It matches the Rfam family "tRNA". Rfam says of the family: Transfer RNA (tRNA) molecules are approximately 80 nucleotides in length. Their secondary structure includes four short double-helical elements and three loops (D, anti-codon, and T loops). Further hydrogen bonds mediate the characteristic L-shaped molecular structure. tRNAs have two regions of fundamental functional importance: the anti-codon, which is responsible for specific mRNA codon recognition, and the 3' end, to which the tRNAs corresponding amino acid is attached (by aminoacyl-tRNA synthetases). tRNAs cope with the degeneracy of the genetic code in two manners: having more than one tRNA (with a specific anti-codon) for a particular amino acid; and 'wobble' base-pairing, i.e. permitting non-standard base-pairing at the 3rd anti-codon position. Lineage: Bacteria; Bacillati; Chloroflexota. The record is from RNAcentral.
GGAGCGGUCGCCUAGUCUGGUCGAGGGCGCGGCACUGGAAAUGCCGUAACGGGCUUACCCCGUUCGCGAGUUCGAAUCUCGCCCGCUCCGCCA